This 1395-nucleotide ribosomal RNA is filed under the name uncultured bacterium. Its description in RNAcentral is "bacterial SSU rRNA". It matches the Rfam family "Bacterial small subunit ribosomal RNA". The record is from RNAcentral.
GAGUUUGAUCCUGGCUCAGGAUGAACGCUAGCUACAGGCUUAACACAUGCAAGUCGAGGGGCAGCAUGACGAUAGCUUGCUAUUGUUGAUGGCGACCGGCGCACGGGUGAGUAAGCGCGUAUCCAACCUUCCCAUAGCUAGGGAAUAACCUUGCGAAAGUAAGACUAAUGCCCUAUAACAUUCUUUGCAGACAUCUAAAGAGAAUUAAAGAUUUAUCGGCUAUGGAUGGGGAUGCGUCUGAUUAGGUUGUUGGCGGGGUAACGGCCCACCAAGCCCACGAUCAGUAGGGGUUCUGAGAGGAAGGUCCCCCACAUUGGAGGUGAGACACGGUCCAAACUCCUACGGGAGGCAGCAGUGAGGAAUAUUGGUCAAUGGACGAAAGUCUGAACCAGCCAAGUAGCGUGCAGGACGACGGCCCUAUGGGUUGUAAACUGCUUUUAUAUGGGAAUAAAGUGAGCGACGUGUCGUUUUUUGUAGGUACCAUAUGAAUAAGGACCGGCUAAUUCCGUGCCAGCAGCCGCGGUAAUACGGAAGGUCCAGGCGUUAUCCGGAUUUAUUGGGUUUAAAGGGAGCGUACGCCGUUUUUUAAGCGUGUUGUGAAAUACUGUCGCUCAACGACAGAGGUGCAGCGCGAACUGGAGGACUUGAGUGCGCGGAAUGUAGGCGGAAUUCGUCGUGUAGCGGUGAAAUGCUUAGAUAUGACGAAGAACUCCGAUUGCGAAGUCAGCUUACAGUAGCGUAACUGACGCUGAAGCUCGAAAGUGCGGGUAUCGAACAGGAUUAGAUACCCUGGUAGUCCGCACGGUAAACGAUGGAUGCUCGCUGUGUGCUUUUGGGUACGCGGCCAAGCGAAAGCGCUAAGCAUCCCACCUGGGGAGUACGCCGGCAACGGUGAAACUCAAAGGAAUUGACGGGGGCCCGCACAAGCGGAGGAACAUGUGGUUUAAUUCGAUGAUACGCGAGGAACCUUACCCGGGCUUGAAUUGCAGAGGAAGGAUUUAGAGAUAAUGACGCCCUUCGGGGCCUCUGUGAAGGUGCUGCAUGGUUGUCGUCAGCUCGUGCCGUGAGGUGUCGGCUUAAGUGCCAUAACGAGCGCAACCCCUCUCCGUAGUUGCCAUCAGGUAGUGCUGGGCACUCUGCGGACACUGCCGCCGUAAGGUGUGAGGAAGGUGGGGAUGACGUCAAAUCAGCACGGCCCUUACGUCCGGGGCUACACACGUGUUACAAUGGGUCAUACAGAGUGUUGUGCGUAUGCAAAUACGUUCUAAUCAUUAAAAUGAUCCUCAGUUCGGAUUGGGGUCUGCAACCCGACCCCAUGAAGCUGGAUUCGCUAGUAAUCGCGCAUCAGCCAUGGCGCGGUGAAUACGUUCCCGGGCCUUGUACACACCGCCCGUC